This 73-nucleotide transfer RNA is filed under the name Planctomicrobium piriforme. It matches the Rfam family "tRNA". Rfam says of the family: Transfer RNA (tRNA) molecules are approximately 80 nucleotides in length. Their secondary structure includes four short double-helical elements and three loops (D, anti-codon, and T loops). Further hydrogen bonds mediate the characteristic L-shaped molecular structure. tRNAs have two regions of fundamental functional importance: the anti-codon, which is responsible for specific mRNA codon recognition, and the 3' end, to which the tRNAs corresponding amino acid is attached (by aminoacyl-tRNA synthetases). tRNAs cope with the degeneracy of the genetic code in two manners: having more than one tRNA (with a specific anti-codon) for a particular amino acid; and 'wobble' base-pairing, i.e. permitting non-standard base-pairing at the 3rd anti-codon position. RNAcentral also lists the same sequence under 1 other name. The record is from Rfam by way of RNAcentral. Lineage: Bacteria; Pseudomonadati; Planctomycetota; Planctomycetia; Planctomycetales; Planctomycetaceae.
GGCCCCAUCGUCUAGAGGCCCAGGACAUUGGAUUUUCAGUCCAAGUACGGGGGUUCGAAUCCCCCUGGGGUCA